UACGUAGGGCGCAAGCGUUAUCCGGAAUUAUUGGGCGUAAAGAGCUCGUAGGCGGUUUGUCGCGUCUGCUGUGAAAACCCGAGGCUCAACCUCGGGCCUGCAGUGGGUACGGGCAGACUAGAGUGCGGUAGGGGAGAUUGGAAUUCCUGGUGUAGCGGUGGAAUGCGCAGAUAUCAGGAGGAACACCAGUGGCGAAGGCGCUCGUGG
This 207-nucleotide ribosomal RNA is filed under the name uncultured bacterium. RNAcentral describes it as "partial 16S ribosomal RNA". It matches the Rfam family "Bacterial small subunit ribosomal RNA", at positions 524 to 733 of the family's 1533-position model. The record is from RNAcentral.